Molecule: non-coding RNA, 99 nt
Filed under: unclassified sequences
Description: DUF3800-V RNA
Rfam family: DUF3800-V RNA
Source: Rfam by way of RNAcentral
AGACAUAGAGCGGUAAGACCGCUGUGGGUUGUCCAUGGUGUUCCCUUCCGGAGGUUGGCAAAGCCGUGGCGAACCAAGCCCACAGGGCACGCUCUUUUU